Molecule: long non-coding RNA, 444 nt
Organism: Coregonus clupeaformis (lake whitefish)
Lineage: Eukaryota; Metazoa; Chordata; Actinopteri; Salmoniformes; Salmonidae
Exons: 3
Source: RefSeq, a predicted model, not a curated record
GGGCAGGCUGGUGUUUCACCUCUUACUGUAACUCAAGUUGUAUUGUUGAGAAACAAGCCAGACCGUGUCCAUCUCCGACCCCAACUACAGUCAGCACUGUCUCAACUACAGUCAGCACUGUCUCAACUACAGUCAGCACUGUCUCAACAACAACAGAAGCUACACGUUCUACAACAUCUAGAUUGUCCCCGACUACACCUUCCAGAGGCUGUGAAUAUGUCAAUCCACCAAGAAAGGAUGGUGAAACUUGGAAAACAGGCAACUGCACUACUCAAACGUGCAACAGGGGUGUAAUUACCACAACGUUUGUGGCCUGUGAGUCUGUACAACAGCCUGUGUGUGAAAAUGGAUUUCCACCAGUGAAAGUCUAUGACGAAUCAGGUUGCUGCUAUCGCUACGAAUGUCAAUGUAUAUGCUAUGGAUGGGGAGACCCUCAUUACGUCA